GGUAAAAGUAAAAUUUUGGGGUAGUUGGAUGUGGUUAGAAGGUAGGAUUCUGGGGGAUAAGGUGGUUAGUGGAUGAAGUGGGGAGUUGUUUAAUUUUAAUUUUAAUUUAAUUUAUUUUUCCCAAAAUUCCCUCUAUUUGACUUUUUUUCUCUUCUCUUCUAUUCUUUUUCUCUCCUGAGUAAAUUUCAUUUCUCUCAAUUAUUCAAUCCUUGAUUUUGAUUAAACCGUGUGUUUUUGUUGGUUGAUCGGCAUUGUGGUGC
This 260-nucleotide long non-coding RNA is filed under the name Gossypium raimondii (Peruvian cotton). RNAcentral's name for it is "long non-coding RNA (GRAI_LNC000283)". Lineage: Eukaryota; Viridiplantae; Streptophyta; Magnoliopsida; Malvales; Malvaceae. The record is from RNAcentral.